UUAAGUUAUUAAGGGCAUAGAGUGGAUGCCUUGGUGCUAGAAGGCGAUGAAAGACGUGAUAAGCUGCGAUAAGCUUCGGUUAGGUGCAAACAACCUUUAACCCGGAGAUUUCUGAAUGGGGUAACCUGAUACGAUUGAAUCGUAUCGUUCCUUCCUGAAUAAAAUAAGGAAGGAUACGCAAGACCUGCUGAAUUGAAACAUCUUAGUAAGCAGAGGAAAAGAAAGAGAAUUCGAUUCCGUAAGUAGCGGCGAGCGAAAACGGACCAGCCCAAACCGGCGUCUUUGACGUCGGGGUUGUAGGACCCCGCUGUGGGACUUCUGACGAUAGGUGAACACUUUGGAAAGAGUGGACAAAGAGCGUGACAUCCGCGUAACCGAAAUCUGAUGAGGCCCUAGGGAGUUCCUGAGUAGCACGGGACACGUGAAACCCCGUGUGAAUCUGCGCAGACCACUGCGUAAGGCUAAAUACUAACUAGCGACCGAUAGUGAACCAGUACCGUGAGGGAAAGGUGAAAAGUACCCCUGUGAGGGGAGUGAAAUAGAACCUGAAACCCUAUGCCUACAAGGUGUUAGAGCCCUUUCGAGGGUGAUAGCGUGCCUUUUGCUUAAUGAGUCUGCGAGUUACCGUCUGUGGCAAGCUUAAGAUCUUCUGGAUCGUAGGCGUAGCGAAAGCAAGUCCGAAUAGGGCGACCCUAGUUGCAGGCGGUAGACCCGAAACGGAGGUGACCUACCCAUGGCCAGGUUGAAGCUUAGGUGAUACUAAGUGGAGGACCGAACCGGUGUGUGUUGAAAAACGCUCGGAUGAGCUGUGGGUCGGAGUGAAAGGCUAAUCAAACCCCGUGAUAGCUGGUUCUCCUCGAAAUGCAUUUAGGUGCAGCGUUGCGUGUUGAUGAGUGGGGGUAGAGCACUGACAGGGCUAGGGGGCAUACCCGCCUACCAACCCCUAUCAAACUCCGAAUACCAUUCAAUAGAGCGCAGCAGUGAGACGGCGGGGGAUAAGCUUCGUCGUCGAGAGGGAAACAGCCCAGAUCAGCAGCUAAGGUGCCUAAAUUGUGCUCAGUGGAAAGGAGGUGAGGUUUCAUAGACAGUGAGGAUGUUGGCUUAGAAGCAGCCACCAUUUAAAAAAUGCGUAAUAGCUUACUCAUCGAGAGACCUUGCGCCGAAAAUACUUGGCGAUAAGCACAAUACCGAAGCUCUGGGUGUCCUAGUUUACUAGGGCGCGGUAGAGGAGCAUUCUCUGUGCAGUGAAGGGUGAUGGCGACUGACCCUGGAGCGCAGAGAAGUGAGAAUGCAGACAUGAGUAACGAUAAGAGCGGUGAAAUCCCGCUCCGCCGUAAAUCCAAGGUUUCCCGGGCAACGUUUUUCGUCCCGGGGUUAGUCGGGACCUAACCCGAGGCCGAUGGGCGUAGGGGAUGGUAAGCAGGUUAAUAUUCCUGCACCCAGUAAGGAGGACGCAUAAUGAAAAGCUACUAUGUUAUUGAAUAUUCGGAGGCGAGGCUUAGGCCGAACCGCAUAGCUGGACAGAGUGCCAAGAAAAGCCCUUACAUUAAUGGCCCGUACCGUAAACCGACACAGGUGGAUGGGUAGAAUAUACCAAGGCGCAAGAGUGAAACCUGGUCAAGGAACUCGGCAAAAUAGCCCCGUAACUUCGGAAGAAGGGGUGCCCCCUCUGGGGGGCCGCAGUGAAAUGGCCCAACCGACUGUUUAGCAAAAACACAGCAUUGUGCUAAGGCGUAAGCCGACGUAUACGAUGUGACACGUGACCAAUGCCAAAAGAUUACGGUAAGAUGUUAGCACUUUAGUGCGAAGCUUCGAGCCCAAGUCCUGGUGAAUGUCGGCCGUAACUAUAACGGUCCUAAGGUAGCGAAAUUCCUUGUCGGGUAAGUUCCGACCUGCACGAAUGG
RNAcentral lists this ribosomal RNA (1904 nucleotides) under marine metagenome. Its description in RNAcentral is "bacterial LSU rRNA". It matches the Rfam family "Bacterial large subunit ribosomal RNA", at positions 3 to 1999 of the family's 2925-position model. The record is from RNAcentral.